RNAcentral lists this long non-coding RNA (5590 nucleotides) under Sus scrofa (pig). Its description in RNAcentral is "lncRNA (ENSSSCG00060054632.1)". The record is from RNAcentral. Lineage: Eukaryota; Metazoa; Chordata; Mammalia; Artiodactyla; Suidae.
AAAACGUCUCCUAAUUGUAUGUUAGAAUCCACCAAGUUUUAGAACCACAAAGCCUGGAUCUGCCCCGAUUCUUCUUCAUGAAUCUCGGAGUAUCUGCAUCUAUUGCUUUCAGGUGGGAAAUGCUCACAGAGCUAAAAUCAAAAACCAGUUAGAUUUUAGGCGUUCCCACCACAGCUCCGCGGUAGCAAACCUGAUUCGUAUCCAUGAGGUUGCGGGUUCAAUCCCUGGCCUUGCUAAGUGGGUUAAGGAUCCAGCGUUGCCAUGAGCUGUGGUGUAGGUCGCAGAUGCAGCUUGGAUCUUGUGUUGCUGUGACUGUGGUGUAGGCCGGCAGCUGCAGCUCUGAUUCAACCCCUAGCCUGGAAACUUCCAUAUGCCACAUGUGUAGCCCCCCCCCAAAAAAACAAAAACAAAACAAAUUAGAUUUUAAAAUCUUUCUAGGAAAUUUUUUUUUCCUAUCCAGAAUUCAUGUGAGUUUUGCGGCUGUUUUUGGCUUGUUUUUUGUUUCGGCCAUGCCAACGGUAUGCAGAAGUUCCUGGACUGGGGACUGAACUCCUGCCAGCCACGCCGGAUCAUUAACCCACCGCACCACAAGGGAACUCCUGAGGGUGUUUUUGGCCAUUCGAAAAUUGCGCUAGACUGCGUCACCCCCACUCUCCACCAAUUUCUGCCCUGAGUUUCUUUUUCCACUUGUUCGGAAGAACCAUUGAAAGCAAGUGUGCGCACUGAGAAGAGGACUGCCGUAGAAUAACCAAAGAGGAGACAGCCAGAUCUUCCUCUUAUUUAUUUAUUUAUUCAUGCAGAGGUUCCCAGGCCAGGGAUCAAACCUGUGCCCCAGCAGUGACAACACGGGAUCCUUAACCUGCUGAGCCACCAGGGAACUCUCACAAUUUUGGAACAAUCUCACCACCUUAAGAAGAAAACCCAUACUCCUUGGCAGUUGCCCCCACCCCCAUCCAUCCUUGAGCAACCACUGAGCUUUCUGUCUCUAUAGAUUUGCCUACCUGGGACAUUUUAUAGACCUUAUAUCAUGUCAUGUGCAGUCUCUGCGGCUGACUUCUUUCCUUUCACAGCAUGUUUGCAGGAGUCUGAUGUGGUACCGCAGAUCCAUACUUUGUCCCAUUUUUGGCCAAAUAACAUUCCACCAAAGGAGUGUUACGUUUUAUUUCUCCGUUCAUCAGUUGAUAGACACGUGGGUUGUUUCCACUUUUGGCUUUUGUGAACAAUGCUCACGUAAGCAUGUGGGAAAAAGCGUUGAUGGGCUUCACGUUGUUAUCACUCUUGGACAGAUACCCAGGAGAGGGAUUUCUGAGUCUAACGCUGUGGCUAACCCUGGGAGGAAUUACCUCGCUGUUUCCCAACAGAGCUGCCCCCUUCCUCCCGGGCAGCCACUCUCUCCUUUCCCUUCCUCGAAUACACGGGGCUGGUUCCUUCUGUCAUUGGCUCAGCAACUUGUCACCUCUUGGCUGGUUCCUUAUGACAUUGGCUCAGCUCCUUGUCACCUCUUUAGAGAGGUUAUGUCUCCACCUUACCCUUCUCUUUACCCUGGUUUGUUUGUUUGUUUGUUUCUUUCUUUCUUUCUUUUUUUUCUUUUUAGGGCCGCACCUGCGGCAUAUGGAGGUUCCCAGGCCAAGGGUCGAAUCAGAGCUGCAGCCUCUGGCCUACCCUACAACCACAGCAAGUGUGGGAUCUGAGCCACUCCUGCAACCUACACCACAGCUCUCGGCAAUGCCGGAUCCUUAACCCAUUGAGCGACGCCAGGGAUCGAACCCACAUCCUCAUGGAUCCUAGUCAGGUUCACUAACUGCUGAGCCACGAUAGGAACUCCGAGAUCUCUAUUUAUGUGAGAAUUCAUCUUUGUAUGUUCUAAACCCAAAGAUCAUUUUCCUUCCCUUAACAUGGCCGGGUGGGGGGGCAGGAAAUUCUGAAGAAUUUUUGCCCCUAAGGUGGGAAACCGUCAGAACUGAAAGGAAAUUGAACUAUAAUAAACCGUAGGAAGCAAGAGCGGUGGAAAUCUGGCUUGUAAAUUAGGCUCUACAGCAUAGGAAUCCAUUCUUCAUGCUAUCCCUUAAUUUACUUAGUGCUCAAUUAUUCCCACAGAGUAACUGAACCCAAUCUGUAUUCAAUAUAAGAAAACUUUCCAAAUUUCCCCUGCCACUUUUAUGGUUAAGAGUCAUUUUUCCGCUUAUGGUCUUCCUUGCAGAGAUGCGAUCUGUGAAAUGAUUGUGGGCCCUUUAUUCGUGCCCUCGUGGCGGGCACCCUGGGGUGUGGCCUGAUGACUCAUUCUGUGUAACGAACGCCCCUCUAUCCAGGAACCCAGCCGUGUCCAUAAAUGCAGGCGCUCCAACACCAGAUGUCAAAAAGUCAAUGUUUAUUUAGGAAAGGAAAUAUGUCAUUGAGUGAUUAACUCCUAGAAGCCAUAGUGAAACUUUUGAAUCAUCCGAAUUUAUUUUAAAGUGAUACUUCGUGUCUCUACUUCAUAGUUGGAAUUAUGUACUAGACCUUUGGGUUUUCAAAGAGAAAACAGCAGAGACACCUGUCCAUAUCAAGAAUUUCCUUUUCGGAGUUCCCAUUGUGUCUCGGGGGUUAAGGACCCUAUGUUGUCUCUGUGAGGAUGCAGGUUUGAUCCUUGGCCUUGCUCAGUGGGUUAAGGAUCCAGCAUUGCCACACGCUUUGGUGUAGGUCACAGAUGUGCUCAGAUCCGGUGUUGCUGUGACUGUGGCGUAGGCUGCAGCUGCAGCCCUGAUUCAGUCCCUAGCUCAGGAACUUACAUAUGCUGCAGGUGUAGCAAUUAAAAAAAAAAAAAAGAAUUUCUUUUUUAUGGUUAGUCUCUAAAAUUAGCCUGGGAAAUUCAGCUCUUCAUAAUUUCCUGCUUUGAGAGGAACUUUUGAACCUUAUCAAGAUUGUACCUGGGUGGACUCCACUCAGAUAUAUAUUCCCAGAGGCAGGGAACAGCCUGUCCACGCGGAAGGAUGCUGGGGACCAGACCCACGUGGCUUAGUGACACGAACAGUGUAAGCUGGUUAUAAGAAAAGUUUCUUUCAAGGAAUACGUGGCCCCCCCAAAUGUUUCCCAAUUAAGAAGGAAAAAGCAAAAAAUGGCCAAAUCCUUUCAUUGAACCCAAGUCACAGGCUAUCUCAGUGACUCGGCACACACUGGGCUGAGAGGCAAAAGCAAGCUCGCUGGGUUGGCUUGGUGGGUUACAGCUGGAUGCUAACAGGGCCCAAAGAUGCCCUGUCUGGUUCUUCUUAAGGAAGAUUCCUUGGUUCAGGGGGAGAGAGUCUAACCCAAGGCCACAAGCAUUACCCUUGGCCAUCCACCUAAACCUAGACACUCAAGAUUUUGCUACACAGAUACAUUCUUGGUUCCGUAGAAGGAGGUAAUAUCACAGCCUGUAGAAAUCUCUUCCUUUUUAGAUUUUCUUUUUUGGCUGCUCUGUGGCAUAUGGAGUUUCUGGGCCAGGGAUCAGAUCCGAACUGCAGUUUUGACCUAAGCUGCAGCUGCAGCAAUGCUGGAUCCUUAACCCACUGUGCCGGGCCCAGGCUCGAACCUGCAUCCCAGCACUUCCAAGAUGCCACCGAUCCUGUUGCGUCAUAGCAGAAACUCCAAGAACCUUCUAAAUGCUACUUCUUGGUUUGUCUAAGUUCCAAGUUUAUUUCUAGAGAGAAGUAUGUCUUCACGUGGAUGAAGGCAUUUUUAAUAACUACAUAAUGGGGAAAAAAUACAGAUUAUUAUGCUAGUGAUGAGCAUAUUGUUUAUAACAAACAAAACAAAACCAAAUGCAGCAAGCAAGAAAUAUUUCAUAACCUUCAAGAUUAUUUCCAUAAGAUAAAUUCUUAGACAGAGUUCUGAAAACACACGACAUAGAGGACAGAUUUGUGGUUGCCAAGGAGGAGGGGGAGAGGGGGAGGGGAAUACUGGGAGUUUGGGAUUAGCAGGUACAGAUUAGUGUAUAUAUGAUGGAUAAAAAACAAGGUCCUACUGUAUACAGCACAGGGGCUCUAUUUACUCUCCUGUGAUAAGCCGUAAUGGAAAAGACUCUGAAAAAGAAUGUAUACGUAUAACUGAGUCGCUUUGCUGUACAGCAGAAAUUAAUACAACAUUGUAUAUCAACUAUACCUCAGUAACAUUUAAGAAAAGACAGAGUUCUGAAACCAAGCACUUGAGCAAUUUUAAUAGGCCUAUUAAUAGGUAUUGCCAAGAGAAUGUCCUUUUUUGCAUCCAAUGUCUAUGUUUCUGAAAAAUAAUGAUGAGCUUAUAUUUUUCCAUCCUGUAAACCAUCUGUUAAUUUAGGACACAGAGUGAACUAUGUCAUUCUUCUUGGCCUGCCGCUUCAGCAGCUGCAGCUUUGGUGGUGCCAGCAACUCACCAACCUGGCAACAUCAUGGGCAUUUUGGCCAUCAUCAAAAACCACACAAAGCACUAAUGUUGGUCAGGAUAUAGAGAAAAGGGAACCUUUCUACACUGUUGAUGGGAAUAUAAAUCGGUGCAGCCACUGUGGAAAACAGUAUGGAAGUUUCUCAAAAAGCUAAAAAUAAAGCUACCAUAUGACCCGGCCAUUCCACUCCAGGGUACAUAUCCAAAAAAGCAAAAACACUGAUUUGAAAAGGUACAGGUACCCCAAUAUUCACAGCAGCACUAUUUACAAUUUCUAAGAAAUGGAAGCAACCUAAAGUGUCUGCCAACAGAUGAAUGGAUAAAGAAGAUGUGGUAUACAUAUUCAGUGGAAUACUACUCAGUCAUAAAAAAUGAAAUUUUGCUAUUUGCGGAAACAUGGAUGGACUCGGAGGGCAUUGUGCUAAGUGAAAUAAGUCAGACAUAUAACAACAAAUGCUGUGUGAUUAACACAUACGGGGAAUCUAAAAAGUACAACAAACUAGUGAAUAUAAUAAAAUAGAAGCAGACUCAGAGAUAUAGAGAAUAAACUUGUGGUUAGUGGUAGAGAGGGGGAUUACAGGGAUGGGAGGGGGAAGGUACGAAUCACUGGUUGUAGGAUAGGCUCAAGGAUGUAUUGUACAACAUGGGAAACACAGCCAAUAUUUUGUAAUAACUACGAAUGGAAAGUAAUCUUUUAAAGUUGUAUAAAAAAUUAGGAGUUCCCACUGUGGCGCAGUGGAAACAAAUCCGAAUAGGAACCAUGAGGGAUCGAACCUGCAAUCUCAUGGUUCCUAGUCAGAAUCGUUAACCACUGAUCCACGGUGGGAACUCCAUGUAAUUAGAAAUCAUAAAGAAUUUUUGUUCUUACAAAAAUAACAAGCACCAAAGUUAAAAAACAGGAGUUGCCUGGUGGCUCAUCAGGUUAAGGACUUGGUGUUGCCACUGCUGUUGCGAGUUCAAUCCCAGGCCCGGAAACUUCUGCAUGCCAUGGGCACAGCCAAAAAAUAAAAAUAAAAACAUAAAGUUAAAAAAGUUAAAAAACAAAACAAAGAAAACCCUAACUAAUUGAGUCUCUCCCCCACCAAAUGUACAGUUAGACUCAAGUCUGGGUUUUUUGGAAAGGAAAUUCAUUGGUAAAUGGCCGGUAAUGAUAGUUCCUUUUUCUCUGCAGAAUCAAACAAUAACAAAUGGUUAAAUGUCACCUGCACAAGGGGGG